This 373-nucleotide ribosomal RNA is filed under the name Klebsiella pneumoniae. RNAcentral's name for it is "bacterial SSU rRNA". It matches the Rfam family "Bacterial small subunit ribosomal RNA", at positions 605 to 977 of the family's 1533-position model. The record is from RNAcentral. Lineage: Bacteria; Pseudomonadati; Pseudomonadota; Gammaproteobacteria; Enterobacterales; Enterobacteriaceae.
GGGCUCAACCUGGGAACUGCAUUCGAAACUGGCAGGCUAGAGUCUUGUAGAGGGGGGUAGAAUUCCAGGUGUAGCGGUGAAAUGCGUAGAGAUCUGGAGGAAUACCGGUGGCGAAGGCGGCCCCCUGGACAAAGACUGACGCUCAGGUGCGAAAGCGUGGGGAGCAAACAGGAUUAGAUACCCUGGUAGUCCACGCCGUAAACGAUGUCGAUUUGGAGGUUGUGCCCUUGAGGCGUGGCUUCCGGAGCUAACGCGUUAAAUCGACCGCCUGGGGAGUACGGCCGCAAGGUUAAAACUCAAAUGAAUUGACGGGGGCCCGCACAAGCGGUGGAGCAUGUGGUUUAAUUCGAUGCAACGCGAAGAACCUUACCUG